Long non-coding RNA from Myxocyprinus asiaticus (Chinese sucker), 462 nucleotides. RefSeq lists it as uncharacterized. The record is from RefSeq and is a predicted model, not a curated record. The transcript has 3 exons. NCBI's taxonomy places the organism in Eukaryota, Metazoa, Chordata, Actinopteri, Cypriniformes, Catostomidae.
ACCAGAAAACCUGUUUAUUGCACCAAAGAUCUUACACACAUUGGUUCUUGACUUCCAAGGUGAUUUCUUCUCUAAGAAGAAACCAAAGCAGAGGAAAGUUGUGCGGACUAGAAGAACUGCCAGGUGGACAGCACAUUUUUCACUCAUCUCUUCCUAACUCUCAAACGGCUGUUACCACUGAGAGGAACAUCUUGGCAAGACCAAGGAAAACCUGCUGUGAGGGGAAAAAAAAUUGCCUGGCAUGCAACACCACUGACCAGGAGACUGAAGUUAUUGUAAAGAGAUGGCUUCAGUUUGCCCCUGAAAGUGAUUGAGGAAGGAGGAAGCAGUUGAGGAGAAAAGAAGAGCUGGACACUUUUAAUUGUUUAGGACAAUUCUGACUUGACUCUCUUUCUCACACACACACACACAUACACACACACACACACAGAAACAAAUGCAGCUAUUAGGGUGGGCAAUAAA